GACGAACCGUGCGAACGUUGUUCGGAAUCACUGGGCUUAAAGGGCGCGUAGGCGGGUCGCUAAGUCCGGGGUGAAAGCCCCCAGCUUAACUGGGGAAGUGCCUUGGAUACUGGCGGUCUCGAGGGGGAUAGGGGCCCGCGGAACUUCGGGUGGAGCGGUGAAAUGCGUUGAUAUCCGAAGGAACGCCGGUGGCGAAAGCGGCGGGCUGGAUCCCUUCUGACGCUGAGGCGCGAAAGCCAGGGGAGCAAACGGG
This 253-nucleotide ribosomal RNA is filed under the name uncultured bacterium. Its description in RNAcentral is "partial 16S ribosomal RNA". It matches the Rfam family "Bacterial small subunit ribosomal RNA", at positions 524 to 776 of the family's 1533-position model. The record is from RNAcentral.